CUCCUACGGGAGGCAGCAGUGGGGAAUAUUGGACAAUGGGCGAAAGCCUGAUCCAGCCAUGCCGCGUGAGUGAUGAAGGCCUUAGGGUUGUAAAGCUCUCUUGUCAGGGAAGAUAAUGACGGUACCUGAAGAAUAAGCACCGGCUAACUUCGUGCCAGCAGCCGCGGUAAUACGAAGGGUGCUAGCGUUGUUCGGAAUCACUGGGCGUAAAGCGCGCGUAGGUGGCUUAGCAAGUCAGAGGUGAAAGCCUGGAGCUCAACUCCAGAAUUGCCUUUGAAACUGCAAAGCUAGAGUGUCGGAGGGGAUAGCGGAAUUGCUAAUGUAGAGGUGAAAUUCGUAGAUAUUAGCAGGAACACCGGUGGCGAAGGCGGCUAUCUGGACGACAACUGACACUGAGGCGCGAAAGCGUGGGGAUCAAACAGGAUUAGAUACCCUGGUAGUCCACGCUGUAAACGAUGGGUGCUAGCUGUUCGGGGGUUACCCCUGAGUAGCGCAGCUAACGCGUUAAGCACCCCGCCUGGGGAGUACGGUCGCAAGAUUAAAACUCAAAGAAAUUGACGGGGACCCGCACAAGCGGUGGAACAUGUGGUUUAAUUCGAGGCAACGCGAAGAACCUUACCAGGAUUUGACAUGCCCCUCGCGGACACUUGAAAGAGAGUCCUUCAGCUCGGCUGGAGGGAGCACAGGUGCUGCAUGGCUGUCGUCAGCUCGUGUCGUGAGAUGUUGGGUUAAGUCCCG
RNAcentral lists this ribosomal RNA (738 nucleotides) under uncultured bacterium. Its description in RNAcentral is "bacterial SSU rRNA". It matches the Rfam family "Bacterial small subunit ribosomal RNA", at positions 336 to 1089 of the family's 1533-position model. The record is from RNAcentral.